GAAAAGAAGGAAGGGAGAAAGGAAGGGAGGGGAAGGAAGGAAGGAAGGAAGGAAGGAAGGAAGGAAGGAAGGAAGGAAGGAAGGAAGGAAGGAAGGAAGGAAGGAAGGAAGGAAGGAAGGAAGGAAGGAAGCGGGAAGGAAGGAAAGAAGGGAGUGAAAGAGGAAAAAUGAAAACAAUUCUUUAUAUACUGAAAGCACAUUGACACACUGUUG
This 213-nucleotide long non-coding RNA is filed under the name Monodelphis domestica (gray short-tailed opossum). RNAcentral's name for it is "lncRNA (ENSMODG00000048763.1)". The record is from RNAcentral. Lineage: Eukaryota; Metazoa; Chordata; Mammalia; Didelphimorphia; Didelphidae.